Molecule: ribosomal RNA, 497 nt
Filed under: uncultured bacterium
Lineage: Bacteria
Description: partial 16S ribosomal RNA
Rfam family: Bacterial small subunit ribosomal RNA
Source: RNAcentral
GAUGAACGCUGGCGGCGUGCCUAAUACAUGCAAGUCGAGCGAACAGACGAGGAGCUUGCUCCUCUGACGUUAGCGGCGGACGGGUGAGUAAAACGUGGGUAACCUACCUAGAAGACUGGGAUAACUUCGGGAAACCGGAGCUAAUACCGGAUAAUAUAUUGAACCGCAAGGUUCAAUAGUGAAAGGCGGUUUUGCUGUCACUUAUAGAUGGAUCCGCGCCGCAUUAGCUAGUUGGUAAGGUAACGGCUUACAAAGGCGACGAUGCGUAGCCGACCUGAGAGGAUGAUCGGCCACACUGGAACUGAGACACGGUCCAGACUCCUACGGGAGGCAGCAGUAGGGAAUCUUCCGCAAUGGGCGAAAGCCUGACGGAGCCACGCCGCGUGAAUGAUGAAGGCCUUCGGAUCGUAAAACUCUGUUAUUAGGGAAGAACAAAUGUGUAAGUAACCAUGCACGUCUUGACGGUACCUGAUCAGAAAGCCACGGCUAACUACGUG